GAUGAACGCUGGCGGCGUGCCUAAUACAUGCAAGUCGAGCGAACAGACGAGGAGCUUGCUCCUUCGACGUUAGCGGCGGACGGGUGAGUAACACGUAGGUAACCUACCUAUAAGACUGGGAUAACUUCGGGAAACCGGAGCUAAUACCGGAUAAUAUUUCGAACCGCAUGGUUCGAUAGUGAAAGAUGGCUUUGCUAUCACUUAUAGAUGGACCUGCGCCGCAUUAGCUAGUUGGUAAGGUAACGGCUUACCAAGGCAACGGUACGUAGCCGACCUGAGAGGGUGAUCAGCCACACUGGAACUGAGACACGGUCCAGACUCCUACGGGAGGCAGCAGUAGGGAAUCUUCCGCAAUGGGCGAAAGCCUGACGGAGCAACGCCGCGUGAGUGAUGAAGGUCUUCGGAUCGUAAAACUCUGUUAUUAGGGAAGAACAAACGUGUAAGUAACUGUGCACGUCUUGACGGUACCUAAUCAGAAAGCCACGGCUAACUACGUG
This 497-nucleotide ribosomal RNA is filed under the name uncultured bacterium. RNAcentral's name for it is "partial 16S ribosomal RNA". It matches the Rfam family "Bacterial small subunit ribosomal RNA", at positions 28 to 507 of the family's 1533-position model. The record is from RNAcentral.